GAUGAACGCUGGCGGCGUGCCUAAUACAUGCAAGUCGAGCGAACACAUGCGGAGCUUGCUCCUCUGACGUUAGCGGCGGACGGGUGAGUAACACGUGGAUAACCUACCUAUAAGACUGGGAUAACUUCGGGAAACCGGAGCUAAUACCGCAUAAUAUAUUGAACCGCAUGGUUCGAUAGUGAAAGACGGUUUUGCUGUCACUUAUAGAUGGAUCCGCGCCGCAUUAGCUAGUUGGUAAGGUAGCGGCUUACCAAGGCAGCGAUGCGUAGCCGACCUGAGAGGGUGAUCGGCCACACUGGAACUGAGACACGGUCCAGACUCCUACGGGAGGCAGCAGUAGGGAAUCUUCCGCAAUGGGCGCAAGCCUGACGGAGCAACGCCGCGUGAGUGAUGAAGGUCUUCGGAUCGUAAAACUCUGUUAUUAGGGAAGAACAAAUGUGUAAGUAACUAUGCACGUCUUGACGGUACCUAAUCAGAAAGCCACGGCUAACUACGUG
Molecule: ribosomal RNA, 497 nt
Filed under: uncultured bacterium
Lineage: Bacteria
Description: partial 16S ribosomal RNA
Rfam family: Bacterial small subunit ribosomal RNA
Source: RNAcentral